GUCUUCUGGUCAAGUUUGCUUUCCUUUCUUUGACUGGAAUGGCUGUUCACCUUUGAGCUGAUGCAUUGGGAGUGCCAUUAUACUUUUUAUUUGUCCUAUGACUGCUGACUCCUUUGUGGAGACUUAUGUCACUCCACCCCCCCAUGGUUAUGGAGUCCUCUGGAUUGGGGGAUCGUUAUGGACAUUAAGUACACCAUCUGGUUUGGUUGCCCUGAUUGCGGCUUACACACAAGCUCCAUGGGGAUGAUCUAGGCGCUCUGUGUCUGGAAAGGGG
Molecule: long non-coding RNA, 274 nt
Organism: Rana temporaria (common frog)
Lineage: Eukaryota; Metazoa; Chordata; Amphibia; Anura; Ranidae
Exons: 2
Source: RefSeq, a predicted model, not a curated record